This is a long non-coding RNA of Osmerus eperlanus (European smelt), 968 nucleotides long. RefSeq lists it as uncharacterized. The record is from RefSeq and is a predicted model, not a curated record. NCBI's taxonomy places the organism in Eukaryota, Metazoa, Chordata, Actinopteri, Osmeriformes, Osmeridae. The transcript has 4 exons.
CUAUACUUUCUUUCUCAGCCACAUAGCUUUCACGGUCAUCCCCCCGAAUCCCAAGAAAAGAAAAGAAAUUCAAAAGAAGGCGGAGGCGGAGCUAGCGGCUCUGGAGGACCUGCGGCUGAGCAGAGCGAUGGCCUAUGUGUCUAUCAAUCCAAGCAGUGUCGGCGGGUGUUUAACUCUGGAGGAGGUGCGACUAAAACAGCAGCAAGAGAUGCAGGUCAGAAGAAGACAGAAACAGAUGAGAAAGUACCUGUUGGAGCCCACACCAGUGCUGCUAUAACGACAGAUACAUCUCAGGCAUGCUAAAACUAGUCACUGUCAAACUCCACUCGAUACAAAAUGGAUCUUGUUUAGAUGGAUGAUUAAAACAAGCUUAUUCUGUGGUAGCAUAGCCUUAUUGUUUUAAAUGAACACAUGUUAUUUCGCCCUCUUUCAAUGUGACAUUGAGAUUACAAUGUAAAAGGAUAUUUAAAUGCUGUAUUUAUUUACGUGACUGAUUUCUGAAACUCAAAUGUUUUAUGUGAUAUUGUAUUUUUGCUAUUAUUAGUCAAAUGAUAGACAGAAGCAAACACGUUUAUUCUAUGUAUUUAUUGACACUGGUAAUUCUGCAUAUUUACGGAGGCAAAUGGCAUCAACUAAGUGUAAAAUUAAGACAUUAUAACAAAUAUGAACAUCAGACUGUUUUGGACUAUAUGUAAACAUUCCCUGUCCUGCAAUAAGUGAAUUCAAUCUGCAUUCUUUCUUUGCUGGGUAUUCAGUAAAGUGACAAGUUGCAUUUUAUUUGGAUAGUUUUUUCAUCAUAAUUUUAAAAUAACAUAUACCUUUUGGCAAGAAAUUGGCAUUUUUAGGACAAGGCUAAAUCAGAGGUCCUGGAACUUUCAUACUUUUUUUUCAUACUUUCAUUUGAAGUACAUUCAUAUGCGGAAUGUGGUACUGGUGUAUUGCCAAACUAAAUAGAAAAUUACAGACAA